RNAcentral lists this ribosomal RNA (496 nucleotides) under uncultured bacterium. Its description in RNAcentral is "partial 16S ribosomal RNA". It matches the Rfam family "Bacterial small subunit ribosomal RNA", at positions 28 to 506 of the family's 1533-position model. The record is from RNAcentral.
GAUGAACGCUGGCGGCGUGCCUAAUACAUGCAAGUCGAGCGAACGGACGAGAAGCUUGCUUCUCUGAUGUUAGCGGCGGACGGGUGAGUAACACGUGGAUAACCUACCUAUAAGACUGGGAUAACUUCGGGAAACCGUAGCUAAUACCGGAUAAUAUUUUGAACCGCAUGGUUCAAAAGUGAAAGACGGUCUUGCUGUCACUUAUAGAUGGAUCCGCGCUGCAUUAGCUAGUUGGUAAGGUAACGGCUUACCAAGGCAACGAUGCAUAGCCGACCUGAGAGGGUGAUCGGCCCCACUGGAACUGAGACACGGUCCAGACUCCUACGGGAGGCAGCAGUAGGGAAUCUUCCGCAAUGGGCGAAAGCCUGACGGAGCAACGCCGCGUGAGUGAUGAAGGUCUUCGGAUCGUAAAACUCUGUUAUUAGGGAAGAACAUAUGUGUAAGUAACUGUGCACAUCUUGACGGUACCUAAUCAGAAAGCCACGGCUAACUACGU